This 1953-nucleotide ribosomal RNA is filed under the name Triticum aestivum (bread wheat). RNAcentral describes it as "partial small subunit ribosomal RNA". Lineage: Eukaryota; Viridiplantae; Streptophyta; Magnoliopsida; Poales; Poaceae. The record is from RNAcentral.
AUGCAUCCAACCUCACUGCUCUUCACCUUGGCCUCACUGUUCCUCUUCCAUCAACGGGUGCAUGCCGAGUGUAAGCCGGUGGCGUGCGGGAACUUCACCAUCAAGUACCCGUUCUGGCUCGGCGCGCCCAGCCGCCCCCCGCCGGAGCCCUCCUGUGGCCACCCGGCCUUCGAGCUCUGGUGCAUCGACGGCAACACCUCCGCUUCCAUGCGUGGCUCCCCCAUCCACGUCCUCAACAUCGACUACGCCACCAGCUCCUUCGUUGUCGUCCACAACAGGGUUGCCUCGGGCACUGACGGCGUGUGCCGCUCCGACUUCAACAUCUCAGUCAGCCUGGCCCUCAGCCCGUUCAGGAUCAGCCCAAGCAACCGUGCCCUGGGCUUCCUGUUCAACUGCUAUGGGACGGAGCCCGGGGGGGCCGAGUACGUGAACGCCACCAGCGUGCCCGGCUGCGGCCGGAAAAUCAUCGCGUACCUCGGCGGGACCUACGACCGGGACAUCCCUCCUAAGAUCCCGACCGGGGACUGCACGUACACGUACUUCCCGGUGCUCGGGACGGAGGCGGCAGUCUCGACGGCGGCCGACUACAAUCGGCUCUUGUUGGCCGGGUUCCUGCUGGACUGGGCGGGCACUGGAGUCGGGGACUGCCCCGCUUGUGUCGCUAGUGGGGGCCAGUGCCGGUACAACACCUCCACCGCGGAGUUCGCGUGCCUCUGUCCCGAUGGCAUCAGGUCGACAUGUCACGGUAGCAAGGGGACCAGCAAGAUGGGUAUGCUAAUAGCUGUGACGUCGGCAGCUGGAUUCUUGCUCUUUGCAUGUAUUUAUGUCCUGAUAUGGCAUAGAAAGGGGAAAAGACUAUGGUUUCACCUUUGCAAGAAGCCUAGCAGCAACACUGAAAAGAAUUACGAGGCCAUGAUAGUAUUGUAUGGAUCCCUAGCUCCAAAAAGAUACAUGUAUUCAGAGGUAAUGAAGUUAACUUCUUCUCGCAACAAUCAGCUUGGAAAAGGUGGUUAUGGUGUGGUUUUCAAAGGAAGACUACACGAUGAUCGUCUCGUUGCUGUGAAAUUCUUGCAUGACUGCAAAGGAAAUGGGGAUGAGUUUGUGAAUGAGGUUAUGAGCAUUGGCAGGACCUCUCAUGUUAAUAUUGUUAGCUUAUUUGGAUUUUGUUUGGAGGGAUCAAAACGAGCUCUUAUAUAUGAGUACAUGCCCAGCGGUUCUUUGGAUAAGUACAUUUACUCAGAGAACCCCAAAGAAAUUUUAGGAUGGGAGAAGCUCUAUGCGAUAGCAGUGGGGAUUGCCCGUGGCCUCGAAUACUUGCAUCAUGGUUGUAAUAUACGCAUCGUCCAUUUCGAUAUCAAGCCCCAAAAUAUCCUUCUAGGCAAGGAUUUUAGCCCAAAGAUUGCUGAUUUUGGUCUAGCUAAAUUGUGUCAUACAAAGGAAAGCAAGCUUUCAAUGACUGGAGCUAGAGGAACAAUUGGGUUCAUCGCUCCAGAAGUUCACUCUCGAAGCUUCGGAGUGGUUUCAACAAAGUCAGAUGUUUAUAGUUUUGGAAUGAUGUUGCUGGAGAUGGUUGGAGGUAGGAGAAACGUAAAAUCAAUUGUUGCAAAAUCCAGUGAAAAGUAUUUUCCAGACUGGAUUUACGACCACUUUGCGCAAGAUGAUGGAUUACAAGCAUGUGAAGUCACAUCAGAAAGUGAGGAAAUCGCAAGAAAGAUGACCUUAAUUGGCUUGUGGUGCGUACAAAUAUUGCCUGCAUAUCGCCCUACCAUAACCAAAGUUCUAGAAAUGUUCGAGAGAAGCUCAGAUGACAUGGACAUGCCACCGAAGCAAAACUUCUCUGGAUUGCUUGAAAGCUCGGCUCACAAUAUGGAUGUACAAAGUUCAAGUUCUACCAGAUCUGAGGAGAUCAGCCUCGUGAAUUCAAAAAUCGCACAACAAUCGCCAACUCUUUGA